This 253-nucleotide ribosomal RNA is filed under the name uncultured bacterium. RNAcentral's name for it is "partial 16S ribosomal RNA". It matches the Rfam family "Bacterial small subunit ribosomal RNA", at positions 524 to 776 of the family's 1533-position model. The record is from RNAcentral.
UACGGAGGAUGCAAGCGUUAUCCGGAAUGAUUGGGCGUAAAGCGUCCGCAGGUGGCAAUGUAAGUCUGCUGUUAAAGAGUCUAGCUCAACUAGAUAAAAGCAGUGGAAACUACAUAGCUAGAGUACGUUCGGGGCAGAGGGAAUUCCUGGUGUAGCGGUGAAAUGCGUAGAGAUCAGGAAGAACACCAGUGGCGAAGGCGCUCUGCUAGGCCGUAACUGACACUGAGGGACGAAAGCCAGGGGAGCAAACGGG